UGGUAGUCCACGCCGUAAACGAUGUCGACUUGGAGGUUGUUCCCUUGAGGAGUGGCUUCCGGAGCUAACGCGUUAAGUCGACCGCCUGGGGAGUACGGCCGCAUGGUUAAAACUCAAAUGAAUUGACGGGGGCCCGCACAAGCGGUGGAGCAUGUGGUUUAAUUCGAUGCAACGCGAAGAACCUUACCUACUCUUGACAUCCAGAGAACUUAGCAGAGAUGCUUUGGUGCCUUCGGGAACUCUGAGACAGGUGCUGCAUGGCUGUCGUCAGCUCGUGUUGUGAAAUGUUGGGUUAAGUCCCGCAACGAGCGCAACCCUUAUCCUUUGUUGCCAGCGCGUCAUGGCGGGAACUCAAAGGAGACUGCCGGUGAUAAACCGGAGGAAGGUGGGGAUGACGUCAAGUCAUCAUGGCCCUUACGAGUAGGGCUACACACGUGCUACAAUGGCGCAUACAAAGAGAAGCGACCUCGCGAGAGCAAGCGGACCUCACAAAGUGCGUCGUAGUCCGGAUCGGAGUCUGCAACUCGACUCCGUGAAGUCGGAAUCGCUAGUAAUCGUGGAUCAGAAUGCCGCGGUGAAUACGUUCCCGGGCCUUGUACACACCGCCCGUCACACCAUGGGAGUGGGUUGCAAAAGAAGUAGGUAGCUUAACCUUCGGGAGGGCGCUUACCACUUUGUGAUUCAUGACUGGGGGUGAAGUCGUAACAAGGUA
RNAcentral lists this ribosomal RNA (712 nucleotides) under uncultured Rahnella sp. RNAcentral's name for it is "bacterial SSU rRNA". It matches the Rfam family "Bacterial small subunit ribosomal RNA", at positions 788 to 1498 of the family's 1533-position model. The record is from RNAcentral. Lineage: Bacteria; Pseudomonadati; Pseudomonadota; Gammaproteobacteria; Enterobacterales; Yersiniaceae.